UCCGCAUAAGCCCACGGGUCGGCAUCGACCAGAGGGAAAAGGAGCAAUCCGCUUUGAGAUGGCCUCGCGUCCGAUUAGCUAGUUGGUGAGGUAACGGCCCACCAAGGCGACGAUCGGUAGCCGGACUGAGAGGUUGAACGGCCACAUUGGGACUGAGACACGGCCCAGACUCCUACGGGAGGCAGCAGUGGGGAAUAUUGCACAAUGGGGGAAACCCUGAUGCAGCGACGCCGCGUGGAGGAAGAAGGUCUUCGGAUUGUAAACUCCUGUUGUUGAGGAAGAUAAUGACGGUACUCAACAAGGAAGUGACGGCUAACUACGUGCCAGCAGCCGCGGUAAAACGUAGGUCACAAGCGUUGUCCGGAAUUACUGGGUGUAAAGGGAGCGCAGGCGGGAAGACAAGUUGGAAGUGAAAUCCAUGGGCUUAACCCAUGAACUGCUUUCAAAACUGUUUUUCUUGAGUAGUGCAGAGGUAGGCGGAAUUCCCGGUGUAGCGGUGGAAUGCGUAGAUAUCGGGAGGAACACCAGUGGCGAAGGCGGCCUACUGGGCACCAACUGACGCUGAGGCUCGAAAGUGUGGGUAGCAAACAGGAUUAGAUACCCUGGUAGUCCACACCGUAAACGAUGAUUACUAGGUGUUGGAGGAUUGACCCCUUCAGUGCCGCAGUUAACACAAUAAGUAAUCCACCUGGGGAGUACGACCGCAAGGUUGAAACUCAAAGGAAUUGACGGGGGCCCGCACAAGCAGUGGAGUAUGUGGUUUAAUUCGACGCAACGCGAAGAACCUUACCAAGUCUUGACAUCCUGUGACAGACGUAGAAAUACGUUCUUCCUUCGGGACACAGAGACAGGUGGUGCAUGGUUGUCGUCAGCUCGUGUCGUGAGAUGUUGGGUUAAGUCCCGCAACGAGCGCAACCCUUAUGGUCAGUUACUACGCAAGAGGACUCUGGCCAGACUGCCGUUGACAGAACGGAGGAAGGUGGGGAUGACGUCAAAUCAUCAUGCCCUUUAUGACUUGGGCUACACACGUACUACAAUGGCGUUAAACAAAGAGAAGCAAGACCGCGAGGUGGAGCAAAACUCAGAAACAACGUCCCAGUUCGGACUGCAGGCUGCAACUCGCCUGCACGAAGUCGGAAUUGCUAGUAAUCGUGGAUCAGCAUGCCACGGUGAAUACGUUCCCGGGCCUUGUACACACCGCCCGUCACACCAUGAGAGCCGGGGGGACCCGAAGUCGGUAGUCUAACCGCAAGGAGGACGCCGCCGAAGGUAAAACUGGUGAUUGGGGUGAAGUCGUAACAAGGU
RNAcentral lists this ribosomal RNA (1305 nucleotides) under metagenome. Its description in RNAcentral is "bacterial SSU rRNA". It matches the Rfam family "Bacterial small subunit ribosomal RNA", at positions 168 to 1497 of the family's 1533-position model. The record is from RNAcentral.